RNAcentral lists this long non-coding RNA (1182 nucleotides) under Erythranthe guttata (spotted monkey flower). RNAcentral describes it as "long non-coding RNA (EGUT_LNC001296)". Lineage: Eukaryota; Viridiplantae; Streptophyta; Magnoliopsida; Lamiales; Phrymaceae. The record is from RNAcentral.
UGCCCCCUAAAUUAUGACUCGUUUUGCGCUUUGCCCCCCAAACAAUUUUUUUUUGCACGUUCUUACCUAAACUCGAUUUUUUGUUGCACGGUGCCCUAAAAGUGGUAUUUUCCGGCAAAUGUCACCGGAAUCUCACGCACGUGCCAUUCACGUGAGAUUUGGAGGGGUAAAUUUGUCUUUUUACUUUUAUUAUUGUCUGACUUUAAUUUUUUCUUCUCUUUUUCAUUUUGGUCAUCUUCCCCAACCGUCUUCUUCCCCACCUCACUCUGGUUCAAAUCCAUCUCCAAAGCCCUUUGUGCACCAAUUUCUAGACAAAACAAAUUUCAACAAUCAAAACUAAUCAUAAAUCAUCUCGACAUUUUCCCUAAACACAGGGCUAACGAGUGGAUUUUCGGACGACGAAAAUGGGUCGAAAAAAUCAUCGAAUAAACCCACCAUAGCCUCUUCCAUCCCUAUUCGUAUCUCCCCUUCUACCACCACUUCCACGGCGGCGUAGGGAAGAGUAACCAUGAACAUCCAAAGCAGCAAUAAGCUUUGCCGUCUCAUCCAAUUACAUCGAACACUGAGCAAGAACUCGACGACGCCGAUUUCACCUUCGAUUUCAAUCGCCAAUUGGAGAGAAGCUCGUUGCCCGCCGACAAACUUUUUAACAACUACAAAAUCAAGCCAUUAAAGACACACCCAAUGUUUCACUACAAUCAAAACAAGCCCAAAAAAAUUAUCGAAAUCCCCAAUUUUCAUCGGAGAAGCAUUCUCCCCCGAAACAAUUGGGCCAAAUAUUUCGACCUAUUUCUCACAGCCAUGGAUUAUACAUGUAAAGGAAAACGUCAAGAAAACAGGUGGUGACGGAAAGAGAGAAUGGCAGGAGUGGAGGCGGUGGCAGGGGAAGAAAGAUUUUCUGGCUGGGAUGGGUUUGGGAGGAGUGCUGGGCCGACGGGAUGAAGAUAUGAUACUUUCUUUUUUGUUUUAUUUUUGUUUUUUGUGUUUUUUUGUUUUUUAAUGAUUAAUUCAUAAUUAAUAUAUAGAAUAUAAGUGAAGUGACGAAUUUAUCCCUGCAAAUAUCACGUGCAACGCACGUGUUUUAACAUUCCGAUCAAAAUUGCCGGAAACUUUAGUUUAGGGGGCACCGUACAACGAAUUAACGAGUUUAGGUAAAAAUGUGCAAAAAAAUUUUGUUUGGGG